RNAcentral lists this ribosomal RNA (500 nucleotides) under Curtobacterium sp. ZXM224. RNAcentral describes it as "bacterial SSU rRNA". It matches the Rfam family "Bacterial small subunit ribosomal RNA", at positions 108 to 621 of the family's 1533-position model. The record is from RNAcentral. Lineage: Bacteria; Bacillati; Actinomycetota; Actinomycetes; Micrococcales; Microbacteriaceae.
GAGUAACACGUGAGUAACCUGCCCCUGACUCUGGGAUAAGCGUUGGAAACGACGUCUAAUACUGGAUACGACUGCCGGCCGCAUGGUCUGGUGGUGGAAAGAUUUUUUGGUUGGGGAUGGACUCGCGGCCUAUCAGCUUGUUGGUGAGGUAAUGGCUCACCAAGGCGACGACGGGUAGCCGGCCUGAGAGGGUGACCGGCCACACUGGGACUGAGACACGGCCCAGACUCCUACGGGAGGCAGCAGUGGGGAAUAUUGCACAAUGGGCGAAAGCCUGAUGCAGCAACGCCGCGUGAGGGAUGACGGCCUUCGGGUUGUAAACCUCUUUUAGUAGGGAAGAAGCGAAAGUGACGGUACCUGCAGAAAAAGCACCGGCUAACUACGUGCCAGCAGCCGCGGUAAUACGUAGGGUGCAAGCGUUGUCCGGAAUUAUUGGGCGUAAAGAGCUCGUAGGCGGUUUGUCGCGUCUGCUGUGAAAUCCCGAGGCUCAACCUCGGGCU